Long non-coding RNA from Rhipicephalus sanguineus (brown dog tick), 243 nucleotides. RefSeq lists it as uncharacterized. The transcript has 3 exons. Lineage: Eukaryota; Metazoa; Arthropoda; Arachnida; Ixodida; Ixodidae. The record is from RefSeq and is a predicted model, not a curated record.
GCAUGUUCGUGUUGGUUUCAUGAUGGUCUGGAGACUCAAGCGUGCUUGCACCUCCGUGUAUGCGUGUUCGGCCAGCACCUGGUUAGGCACAGUCGGAAAUGCGAACGAUGGUGCUCAAGAUGGCACAUGCAACGCUAUGCAGCUGUGGACACCAGCAGCUUGAUAAGAACUCUCGAAGCUCAUCUGGAUGCUUCACAGAACCUGGGAAGACUGAACACUUUUGGCAAAGCAGCAACAGUUCUG